RNAcentral lists this ribosomal RNA (254 nucleotides) under uncultured bacterium. RNAcentral's name for it is "partial 16S ribosomal RNA". It matches the Rfam family "Bacterial small subunit ribosomal RNA", at positions 524 to 776 of the family's 1533-position model. The record is from RNAcentral.
UACGUAGGGACCAAGCGUUGUUCGGAUUUACUGGGCGUAAAGGGCGCGUAGGCGGCGCGGUAAGUCAGCUGUGAAAUUUCCGAGCUUAACUCGGAACGGUCAGCUGAUACUGCUGUGCUAGAGUACAGAAAGGGCAAUCGGAAUUCUUGGUGUAGCGGUGAAAUGCGUAGAUAUCAAGAGGAACACCUGAGGCGAAGGCGGGUUGCUAGGCUGAUACUGACGCUGAGUGCGCGAAAGCUAGGGUAGCAAACGGG